GAAGUGCGAAUGCUGACAUAAGUAACGAUAAAGCGGGUGAAAAGCCCGCUCGCCGGAAGACCAAGGGUUCCUGUCCAACGUUAAUCGGGGCAGGGUGAGUCGACCCCUAAGGCGAGGCCGAAAGGCGUAGUCGAUGGGAAACAGGUUAAUAUUCCUGUACUUGGUGUUACUGCGAAGGGGGGACGGAGAAGGCUAUGUUGGCCGGGCGACGGUUGUCCCGGUUUAAGCGUGUAGGCUGGUUUUCCAGGCAAAUCCGGAAAAUCAAGGCUGAGGCGUGAUGACGAGGCACUGCGGUGCUGAAGCAACAAAUGCCCUGCUUCCAGGAAAAGCCUCUAAGCAUCAGGUAACAUCAAAUCGUACCCCAAACCGACACAGGUGGUCAGGUAGAGAAUACCAAGGCGCUUGAGAGAACUCGGGUGAAGGAACUAGGCAAAAUGGUGCCGUAACUUCGGGAGAAGGCACGCUGAUAUGUAGGUGAAGUCCCUCGCGGAUGGAGCUGAAAUCAGUCGAAGAUACCAGCUGGCUGCAACUGUUUAUUAAAAACACAGCACUGUGCAAACACGAAAGUGGACGUAUACGGUGUGACGCCUGCCCGGUGCCGGAAGGUUAAUUGAUGGGGUUAGCGCAAGCGAAGCUCUUGAUCGAAGCCCCGGUAAACGGCGGCCGUAACUAUAACGGUCCUAAGGUAGCGAAAUUCCUUGUCGGGUAAGUUCCGACCUGCACGAAUGGCGUAAUGAUGGCCAGGCUGUCUCCACCCGAGACUCAGUGAAAUUGAACUCGCUGUGAAGAUGCAGUGUACCCGCGGCAAGACGGAAAGACCCCGUGAACCUUUACUAUAGCUUGACACUGAACAUUGAGCCUUGAUGUGUAGGAUAGGUGGGAGGCUUUGAAGUGUGGACGCCAGUCUGCAUGGAGCCGACCUUGAAAUACCACCCUUUAAUGUUUGAUGUUCUAACGUUGACCCGUAAUCCGGGUUGCGGACAGUGUCUGGUGGGUAGUUUGACUGGGGCGGUCUCCUCCUAAAGAGUAACGGAGGAGCACGAAGGUUGGCUAAUCCUGGUCGGACAUCAGGAGGUUAGUGCAAUGGCAUAAGCCAGCUUGACUGCGAGCGUGACGGCGCGAGCAGGUGCGAAAGCAGGUCAUAGUGAUCCGGUGGUUCUGAAUGGAAGGGCCAUCGCUCAACGGAUAAAAGGUACUCCGGGGAUAACAGGCUGAUACCGCCCAAGAGUUCAUAUCGACGGCGGUGUUUGGCACCUCGAUGUCGGCUCAUCACAUCCUGGGGCUGAAGUAGGUCCCAAGGGUAUGGCUGUUCGCCAUUUAAAGUGGUACGCGAGCUGGGUUUAGAACGUCGUGAGACAGUUCGGUCCCUAUCUGCCGUGGGCGCUGGAGAACUGAGGGGGGCUGCUCCUAGUACGAGAGGACCGGAGUGGACGCAUCACUGGUGUUCGGGUUGUCAUGCCAAUGGCACUGCCCGGUAGCUAAAUGCGGAAGAGAUAAGUGCUGAAAGCAUCUAAGCACGAAACUUGCCCCGAGAUGAGUUCUCCCUGACUCCUUGAGAGUCCUGAAGGAACGUUGAAGACGACGACGUUGAUAGGCCGGGUGUGUAAGCGCAGCGAUGCGUUGAGCUAACCGGUACUAAUGAACCGUGAGG
This 1651-nucleotide ribosomal RNA is filed under the name Escherichia coli. RNAcentral's name for it is "partial 23S ribosomal RNA". It matches the Rfam family "Bacterial large subunit ribosomal RNA", at positions 1285 to 2915 of the family's 2925-position model. Lineage: Bacteria; Pseudomonadati; Pseudomonadota; Gammaproteobacteria; Enterobacterales; Enterobacteriaceae. The record is from RNAcentral.